GAAGUGGGACAUGAGAUGGAAGAAGAGCUGCAGGGGUCUUCGGCAGUGCUGGUGGUGACGGCCUGGUGGCAGUGCCUAAUUUCUUCUUCCUGAUACAUUGCAGUUCUAUUCUAGAUGUUUAUUUUCAUGUGUGAAUCUGUUAUAUCAAAUUUUUAAGAUGCAGCUUAUUUGCUCAGGGAUACAAAAUUGGUCUGUGGCAGAGCUGGCUGGAGCUUCAGUUCAGACUGUGAUUCUAAAUCCAGUGCCCUCCCACUGCUCAACACUGCCUUGCUGCAUAGCAAACGCCACCAGGAUUUCUGUCAUGGAGCAUCCACAGCAAGACCUUUAACUGACAGGGCUCCAGGCAGGAGGUGUGAGCACCUUCCCUGAUUCAUAACUCAAAGCUCAGUAAAAAUAUUGGUCUUGUUGUUAUUACUCUUACAAUAGCUUUUGCAACCCAUGGACCGCAUAUGUUGUGUUUGAUUUUAUAUGCAUGAAUAAUAUAUUAUUUUAUAUAUACAUAUAUAUUUUUUAUGUGUGUAAAUAAAGCCAUGGUGUGGGAAUUUGACGUGAAGGUUAAGACACCUCUCAGGAUACCCACAUCCCCUGUUGGAGCACCCGGGCCUCAGAGCCAUUCCCAAUCCCAGCUUCUUGGUCAUGUAUAUCCCAGGAUGCACUUGACGAUGGCUCAAGUACUUGGGUCUCUGUCAUCUAUGCAGGAGACCCAGAUGGAGUUCCCAGCUCCUAGCUUGGCCUGGCCUAGUACUGGCUGUUGCAAGCAUUCGGGGAGUGAACCAGCAGAUGUGAAAUCUCUCUCUCUCUCUCUCUCUCUCUGCACACACACACACACACACACACAUAGAUCUCAAGUAAAGUAAGUUAAGCAAUUUUUUUAGAUCACCCAAUUGUACCACAACUGCUGGGCAUGAGAAGUCCUAUUGUUCUUGUUACACAGAGAAGGAGAUUCAGAUCAAGUAACUCACACGCUAGGUGGGCCUGCACCCAUUCCUGCCUGGCUGCAGAACAUCAUGCAUCCACCGGUCUCUUCUAGUACGGUAGAGCCCCUCCCUCCACCUCUAAAUCGUGUCUCUUAGCAGUGGGGUGUGAGGCAGGCAAGACUGCUCCAGCCCUGACCCAGCAGCCAUCUCUCCGGCUCCCAUAGGAGAACAAUAGCAGGCCGGUUGUCAAGGCUGCGCUUCAUCUGGAGCCUCCCAUGAGCUGAUACAUCACAGUGGAGUGAUGUAUCACUCGCAGGGAAGCUGCGAGUGCGUGGCUCAGACACGAGGCCCCAGGAUCCCACCGCCUUCCGACUCUUGAUGAACGUGCUCAUGCAGGCAGAAUGAGGCUGGCCCCUGAACUUCUCUGGCUUCCUGUAUUGUCAAGUGGUCUCUUCUUUUGCACGCUCCCGCCAUGAUGCUGUUUGUAAUGUGAUAGGCACAGGGGUCCUCCCCAGAAACCAGACAGACCACCCAAUCUUGGACUUGGAGCUUCCAAAACUGACUGGACACGUGCCGCUGGGAGAAGGAACGUGCUUCUCCCAGAGCCAAACGGUGCUUUCUACCUUGCUUCCGACACCAGCCUCAGUGAGCACAGUCCCUGCAUGGCCUCCCUGUCUUCAGCAGUGCAUCCAGCCGACGUCUUCAGGCAACAGUUCUCAGGGAAUUCAGGCUGCAGCACCUGGGUCGCCUCCCACUCAUGCCUGUCAUGCAGGAGUACACAUCAAAAUGUGGCCUCUGGACCAGAUCGGAGCCAGCAAGCUUGUCCUGUAAGAAGUCACAGCAUAAACAUGUUAGGUUUGGAGUCACAUGGCCUCUGUCCACACCACCCAGCUCAACUCUUGCUGCAGGAAAGCCGCCAUGGACGAAAUGCACACGAGCGAGCCUGCACUGGGCCUGCAAGCCAUCGAUCGUCACCCACAGACCCAGGUAACAUAGAUCUAUCUCCAAGGUUCGCCGCUUUGAUGCCAAUGCCUGGGAAGCUGACUCCGACCCUGGAGCCAGAAGCCACAGAAGUCUGUUCCAUGGCCAUGUCUUCAGACAGGCAGAACAGAGAACAGAAGAGUAUCAAGUCUGACAACAUGAGGCUUCCUAGAUGCAGACAUCAAUGGCACAACCAGGAAGUCCCAAGCUCUGGAGCCUCACAGACCUGGGCCCCAAUUCCCGCCCUGGCCCUCUCUGCUUUGAUACCUUCCCGGAGUAACACCAAUGCUAGUAACUCCAUCCGGUGAAGGAACGUGCAACCCGUGCAAAUGCCCAGUUCCCGGCACACACUGGGACGCCCCGCCUCAUCUGCUUUGCAAACCAGUCUCAGAAAGAGGCAAGGGUGUCUCUCCUUGAGACGUUCUAAGCUCUUUUCUGUUUGCAUUGACAGAGAAAUAUUUAUCCAGGGUUGCAAAAAUCCUCCAGGAAGGCAUUACAUAAAGGGAAAUUUUAAAGAAGGAAAAAGAAAGAAAUUUCUUGCUGUAUUAGGGAAGCAGCGUUUCCCUUUUGACAUUUCAUAAGGCAUAAAUUUGAUAGCAACAGAAGCCCCAGAGACACUGUUAGCUAAACUGCAGGUGCAGGGUUAUUGCGAGAACAGGGAGUGCUAUGUCCUUGCCUGUUAGCCCCAGCAUGGGCUGGCUGUCCACAGUAUCCCUGGAACGCCUGUUCUCUCCCAGGGAUAGCUCACCGGGGAUGCCAGCUUCCAGUUCACCCUAUUAAAAAUGCAUGAUUUAAUCCAUGCCCCCCGGCUUCCUCCAAGAAUCCAUCCUGAUAGUCAACAAUGCCAGGGUCUGAA
Oryctolagus cuniculus (rabbit) is the source of this 2754-nucleotide non-coding RNA. The record is from RefSeq and is a predicted model, not a curated record. NCBI's taxonomy places the organism in Eukaryota, Metazoa, Chordata, Mammalia, Lagomorpha, Leporidae.